AGCGCGCUAGUCACUAGAUCACUCACUAUUAAAGGAAGCUGAAACAAGUGGAAACAAAGACUUGAACUGUACACGGGUGUAUUCCUGCCUUAAUGCCCAGUGUUACCGGGAAAGCCUCUGGAUCCACAAUAGCCCUGACCAAGAUAAAGCAGUUACUGAACGUGAGUGAAUGAGUAAAAUGACCAUUUUUUUUCUCUCUUCAUAACUUUUUUGUGCAUUACACCCAAAUAUGUAAGGUCAUGAAAUACAAGUACCCACAGUCAGCAAACAAUUUUAUGUUGUUUAUGAAUGAUCAGCCUAAAAGGCAUGAUACUUUCAAUUUUAUUUACUUUUUUACUCACCAUUUAUCAAGUGCCACUACAUAUGGACAAUAUUAUAGUCUUGUAGUGUCAUAAUACACCACAGUAUUGACCUUAUUCAAAACUUUUGAAAACUAUUAUACGGAUGAUUUAUUCAACAGUUCAUGAGGAUGUGGCAUAAAGGGAGCCAAACAAUGGCUAAAAAUGAUAACGCUAUCCUCAGCUAAAUGAGGCAGAUCAUGAAUAGAAAGUUGCACUUUUCCCUAUUCGUUUGUUGAUUCGCCAUAAUAUUACAUCAGGAUUAAGACUCAUGACAUCCUGAGGUUGGGUAUCAACAUUAAAAUAUAGUAUAAUGUAGACCAUGGUGAGGUGUAAACUGUGGUAUAAACUUGGUGGUAUAUGAAGGUGCUGGAAUGCACCUCUGAUCAUGUGGAAUUGUCUGACAGCAUGUCUAUCACUAUAUAAUAAAUGAAGAUUUCAGACAGAAUUCAUAAAUCCAAGAUGAUUUAUUUUUAAAAAUAACCAGUUUAUAAAUGAAAUUAAACAUGGGUACAGAUACAAAAUAUGUAAUAGAAUAAGCUGCCAUCUAUAAAGUAAUGUCCUUCACAUUAUUUGGGAGUUAUGAGGGGAAAAUAGACAUAUUAUCAAUGGCUUCAAUCACAUUUUGAUGGUGGUAGCACCUUAUUUUUUUAAAGUGAUAGAUAAACACACUCAUCUCAUUUGUUUACACCUUGCAGAAAGUGCCUUGGGCUAGGACUAGUGUUUAUAGUUGUAUUAACAAAAAAAAAAGCCCAUUAAAGUUAGGAUAGUAAAGUAUUAUUUGAAUGUGCUCUCAACUGAU
Molecule: long non-coding RNA, 1140 nt
Organism: Pangasianodon hypophthalmus (striped catfish)
Lineage: Eukaryota; Metazoa; Chordata; Actinopteri; Siluriformes; Pangasiidae
Exons: 2
Source: RefSeq, a predicted model, not a curated record